Molecule: ribosomal RNA, 253 nt
Filed under: uncultured bacterium
Lineage: Bacteria
Description: partial 16S ribosomal RNA
Rfam family: Bacterial small subunit ribosomal RNA
Source: RNAcentral
UACGUAGGGGGCUAGCGUUGUCCGGAAUCAUUGGGCGUAAAGCGCGUGUAGGCGGUCCGGUAAGUCCGCUGUGAAAGUCGGGGGCUCAACCCUCGGAUGCCGGUGGAUACUGUCGGGCUUGAGUACGGAAGAGGCGAGUGGAAUUCCUGGUGUAGCGGUGAAAUGCGUAGAUAUCAGGAGGAAUACCUAUGGCGAAAGCAGGUAUCUGGGCCAUCACUGACGCUGAGCUGCGAAAGCUAGGGGAGCAAACAGG